GGGGGCGACACGGUUUCGACGGAAGCUGUCGCGUCCCGGAGGCAUGCCGGGGGCCAACCACCCGUAAUCGGCUGGAAACUAGAACUGCCAACAACAACUUGGCACUUGCUGCUUAAUUAAUUAAGCGCACGCUUCCCCGGGCUUUGCUCAUGGGCCCGGUCAGAGGCGUCAUACAGUGAGCUGGCCCAAACCUUUCGGUCCGGAGGGUGCGGGCGAGACCAAUCGGACUAGCCGGAUGCGUUUCUUGCUCGUUCUGAGCGCGACUGGCGAACCAAACUGAACUGAGAUAAGCAUGUAGGCUCCGUGGCGCAGCGCUUUUCGGACGGGGGUUCGACUCCCCCCGCCUCCACCA
RNAcentral lists this transfer-messenger RNA (352 nucleotides) under Terriglobia. RNAcentral's name for it is "Acidoferrum sp018268785 Standard tmRNA". It matches the Rfam family "transfer-messenger RNA". Rfam says of the family: Bacterial tmRNA, also known as 10Sa RNA or SsrA, is named for its dual tRNA and mRNA-like properties. Its role is to liberate the mRNA from a stalled ribosome. The record is from RNAcentral. RNAcentral also lists the same sequence under 1 other name. Lineage: Bacteria; Pseudomonadati; Acidobacteriota.